UCUAUGUCUCUGAUGUUUCUACUUGGUUUAAAUCAGGCAGUUUGUCUUUGUCUCCUCGAGUUGAGAAUACAGAUGCGAAGUAUUUAUUUACUUAUAUCAACUUCUAUAUGCUUGUGAGUCUUGGACACUUCGAGGCUCGCAAAGAUCUUCCUUCAGGGAACAGUACCAGGAAAAGAAGAAGAGGCAGACAGAGAAAGCGGUGGGAGAACAACAUACAAGAAUGGAUGGGCCUGCUAUUGAAAGAGGUUCUAUCUAAGUCAAAAGACAGAGAGGAAUGGAGAAAAAACGGUCAGCGAGUCUUGCAUGGUGCCCCAACGGUCCAACAGACUAAAUGAUAGAAUUUGAUAAGAAGGUCAGAAAAAAAAACAACCCAACUCUAUUAGCUGUUCUCGUAGUGCUCUGUCAUGAGCUGGCCAAUACGUGCAUUAACGUGGCAGUGUCUACACUCUACUAUUCAAAAUUGUUUCGACCUGUUAAGCCAUCACCGUAGGUCACCUGAUUUUGUACGUGGCAAAUGCUGCCAGACAUCCCCUGCCAAUGCCCUUAUUGGAUUCAUCCAGGGAUUUCCAGUCAUACUCACAGAUUACAUUACAAACAAGCAGACAACGUGAAGCUGCGAAUAUAAAUUGCCUCUAUAGAAUCUUGCUUUUAAGAAUAUAGGUCAAAAAAAGGUUAAAGACCACUGCUCCAGACUUGCAAAACUAUGAUAAGGGAAAUAAUCGAGAGAAUAUAGUGCGACGAAGAAAAUAUAGUAUGAUCUCUUUUUUCCGU
Biomphalaria glabrata is the source of this 771-nucleotide long non-coding RNA. RefSeq lists it as uncharacterized. Lineage: Eukaryota; Metazoa; Mollusca; Gastropoda; Planorbidae. The record is from RefSeq and is a predicted model, not a curated record. The transcript has 3 exons.